The sequence is a ribosomal RNA, 671 nucleotides long. It matches the Rfam family "Bacterial large subunit ribosomal RNA", at positions 1029 to 1701 of the family's 2925-position model.
AGACCACCAGCUAAGGUCCCAAAAUAUAUGUUAAGUGGAAAAGGAUGUGGCGUUGCCCAGACAACUAGGAUGUUGGCUUAGAAGCAGCCAUCAUUUAAAGAGUGCGUAAUAGCUCACUAGUCGAGUGACACUGCGCCGAAAAUGUACGGGGGCUAAACAUAUUACCGAAGCUGUGGAUUGUCCUUUGGACAAUGGUAGGAGAGCGUUCUAAGGGCGUUGAAGCAUGAUCGUAAGGACAUGUGGAGCGCUUAGAAGUGAGAAUGCCGGUGUGAGUAGCGAAAGACGGGUGAGAAUCCCGUCCACCGAUUGACUAAGGUUUCCAGAGGAAGGCUCGUCCGCUCUGGGUUAGUCGGGUCCUAAGCUGAGGCCGACAGGCGUAGGCGAUGGAUAACAGGUUGAUAUUCCUGUACCACCUAUAAUCGUUUUAAUCGAUGGGGGGACGCAGUAGGAUAGGCGAAGCGUGCGAUUGGAUUGCACGUCUAAGCAGUAAGGCUGAGUAUUAGGCAAAUCCGGUACUCGUUAAGGCUGAGCUGUGAUGGGGAGAAGACAUUGUGUCUUCGAGUCGUUGAUUUCACACUGCCGAGAAAAGCCUCUAGAUAGAAAAUAGGUGCCCGUACCGCAAACCGACACAGGUAGUCAAGAUGAGAAUUCUAAGGUGAGCGAGCGAACUC